AGCAAGCAUUUAUGCUGGAGUGAGUAACAGAUUUUAUGAGGUCGGUCCAUCGUGUUGGAGAUCGUCCGCGUGAUCUUUUGCCCUCGACUUUCCCUUGCA
This is a non-coding RNA of Bombyx mori (domestic silkworm), 99 nucleotides long. The record is from RefSeq and is marked provisional. NCBI's taxonomy places the organism in Eukaryota, Metazoa, Arthropoda, Insecta, Lepidoptera, Bombycidae.